This is an RNA transcript of Carlito syrichta (Philippine tarsier), 538 nucleotides long. It is a transcript of the gene named MORN repeat-containing protein 2 pseudogene, with no coding region annotated. The transcript has a single exon. NCBI's taxonomy places the organism in Eukaryota, Metazoa, Chordata, Mammalia, Primates, Tarsiidae. The record is from RefSeq and is a predicted model, not a curated record.
AAGUGUAUAAGAUAAGCGUUAUAUUUCCAAAUGGAGACAAGUAUGAUGGUGACUGUCCAAGAACAUCUUCUGGAAUCUAUGAGAGAAACGGAAUGGGUAGCCACACCACUCUUAAUGGGAUUGUCUACAUAGGAAGCUGGAAAGAUGACAAGAUGAAUGGUUUUGGAAGACCUGAACAUUUUACAGGAGCAGUAUAUGAAGGACAAUUUAAGGAUAAUAUGUUUCAUGGAUUGGGGACUUACACGUUCCCAACUGGGUCAAAGUGUACUGGAAAUUUCAAUGAAAAUAGGGUGGAAGGUGAAGGGGAAUAUACUGACAUCCAAGGACUGGAAUGGAGUGGUAACUUUCAUUUUUCAGCUGCCCCAGGCCUAAAACUCAAACUCCGCAUAUAGAUGUUCUGCCCUGAAGUUUAAGUGGGUAAUUGAAGCACUAGUUGUAAGAUAAGCAAGGAAAUCUGUUAUUUGAAGUGACUUCAUACACUACCUCUGUAGUGCCAGUUUGCCAAUAAAACCAUCACUCACUCAAAAAAAAAAAAAAG